Molecule: long non-coding RNA, 192 nt
Organism: Hibiscus syriacus
Lineage: Eukaryota; Viridiplantae; Streptophyta; Magnoliopsida; Malvales; Malvaceae
Exons: 3
Source: RefSeq, a predicted model, not a curated record
AAAAAUGUUUCGCAGGAGCUUCAAGCCAGACAAAUGCAAGCUAGCUUUAAAGCUAGCGAUACCGCGAAUAAAGCUAAUGAAGAACAAGAGGGAAGCACAUUUUAAGCAGUUAAAGAGGGAAUUGGCUCAAUUACUGGAGUCAGGGAAGGAUCAAACUGCCAGAAUUCGGGUGGAGCAUGUGGUUAACGAAGA